Molecule: unclassified non-coding RNA, 220 nt
Filed under: Hevea brasiliensis (rubber tree)
Lineage: Eukaryota; Viridiplantae; Streptophyta; Magnoliopsida; Malpighiales; Euphorbiaceae
Source: RNAcentral
GAUCAGGAGACCUUCCCUUGCAUGCAUACGGAGUUUCUGCAAGAUAACUUCCAAUGAUUCGUACUGCAGCCAAAAGAUCAUUUCCUCGCUUUUGUCCAUGAUCCUUUGAAUCUUGUAGAAAAUCCAAGACUAAAUGAAUAGUCUCAUUUAGCCCCGCAACCACCUUCAUCAAAAUGCUUUCACUAAUAUGGUUACCUUCUGCAGAAUCUUUUGAUAUUAG